GCUCCCUGAUGUUAGCGGCGGACGGGUGAGUAACACGUGGGUAACCUGCCUGUAAGACUGGGAUAACUCCGGGAAACCGGGGCUAAUACCGGAUGCUUGUUUGAACCGCAUGGUUCAAACAUAAAAGGUGGCUUCGGCUACCACUUACAGAUGGACCCGCGGCGCAUUAGCUAGUUGGUGAGGUAAUGGCUCACCAAGGCAACGAUGCGUAGCCGACCUGAGAGGGUGAUCGGCCACACUGGGACUGAGACACGGCCCAGACUCCUACGGGAGGCAGCAGUAGGGAAUCUUCCGCAAUGGACGAAAGUCUGACGGAGCAACGCCGCGUGAGUGAUGAAGGUUUUCGGAUCGUAAAGCUCUGUUGUUAGGGAAGAACAAGUACCGUUCGAAUAGGGCGGUACCUUGACGGUACCUAACCAGAAAGCCACGGCUAACUACGUGCCAGCAGCCGCGGUAAUACGUAGGUGGCAAGCGUUGUCCGGAAUUAUUGGGCGUAAAGGGCUCGCAGGCGGUUUCUUAAGUCUGAUGUGAAAGCCCCCGGCUCAACCGGGGAGGGUCAUUGGAAACUGGGGAACUUGAGUGCAGAAGAGGAGAGUGGAAUUCCACGUGUAGCGGUGAAAUGCGUAGAGAUGUGGAGGAACACCAGUGGCGAAGGCGACUCUCUGGUCUGUAACUGACGCUGAGGAGCGAAAGCGUGGGGAGCGAACAGGAUUAGAUACCCUGGUAGUCCACGCCGUAAACGAUGAGUGCUAAGUGUUAGGGGGGUUUCCGCCCCUUAGUGCUGCAGCUAACGCAUUAAGCACUCCGCCUGGGGAGUACGGUCGCAAGACUGAAACUCAAAGGAAUUGACGGGGGCCCGCACAAGCGGUGGAGCAUGUGGGUUUAAUUCGAAGCAACGCGAAG
RNAcentral lists this ribosomal RNA (903 nucleotides) under Bacillus sp. (in: firmicutes). RNAcentral describes it as "bacterial SSU rRNA". It matches the Rfam family "Bacterial small subunit ribosomal RNA", at positions 81 to 966 of the family's 1533-position model. The record is from RNAcentral. Lineage: Bacteria; Bacillati; Bacillota; Bacilli; Caryophanales; Bacillaceae.